Molecule: transfer RNA, 73 nt
Filed under: Pirellulales bacterium
Lineage: Bacteria; Pseudomonadati; Planctomycetota; Planctomycetia; Pirellulales
Description: tRNA-Lys
Rfam family: tRNA
About the family: Transfer RNA (tRNA) molecules are approximately 80 nucleotides in length. Their secondary structure includes four short double-helical elements and three loops (D, anti-codon, and T loops). Further hydrogen bonds mediate the characteristic L-shaped molecular structure. tRNAs have two regions of fundamental functional importance: the anti-codon, which is responsible for specific mRNA codon recognition, and the 3' end, to which the tRNAs corresponding amino acid is attached (by aminoacyl-tRNA synthetases). tRNAs cope with the degeneracy of the genetic code in two manners: having more than one tRNA (with a specific anti-codon) for a particular amino acid; and 'wobble' base-pairing, i.e. permitting non-standard base-pairing at the 3rd anti-codon position.
Source: RNAcentral
GCCCUUGUAGCUCAGCUGGUAGAGCAACGGACUCUUAAUCCGUCGGUCCAAGGUUCGAAUCCUUGCGGGGGCA